UAGGGAAUCUUCCGCAAUGGGCGAAAGCCUGACGGAGCAACGCCGCGUGAGUGAUGAAGGUCUUCGGAUCGUAAAACUCUGUUAUUAGGGAAGAACAAAUGUGUAAGUAACUAUGCACGUCUUGACGGUACCUAAUCAGAAAGCCACGGCUAACUACGUGCCAGCAGCCGCGGUAAUACGUAGGUGGCAAGCGUUAUCCGGAAUUAUUGGGCGUAAAGCGCGCGUAGGCGGUUUUUUAAGUCUGAUGUGAAAGCCCACGGCUCAACCGUGGAGGGUCAUUGGAGACUGGAAAACUUGAGUGCAGAAGAGGAAAGUGGAAUUCCAUGUGUAGCGGUGAAAUGAGCAGAGAUAUGGAGGAACACCAGUGGCGAAGGCGACUUUCUGGUCUGUAACUGACGCUGAUGUGCGAAAGCGUGGGGAUCAAACAGG
This 429-nucleotide ribosomal RNA is filed under the name Actinomycetes bacterium. RNAcentral describes it as "Actinobacteria bacterium partial 16S ribosomal RNA". It matches the Rfam family "Bacterial small subunit ribosomal RNA", at positions 355 to 776 of the family's 1533-position model. Lineage: Bacteria; Bacillati; Actinomycetota; Actinomycetes. The record is from RNAcentral.